RNAcentral lists this ribosomal RNA (399 nucleotides) under uncultured bacterium. RNAcentral describes it as "bacterial SSU rRNA". It matches the Rfam family "Bacterial small subunit ribosomal RNA", at positions 355 to 771 of the family's 1533-position model. The record is from RNAcentral.
UGGGGAAUAUUGGACAAUGGGGGCAACCCUGAUCCAGCCAUGCCGCGUGCGUGAAGAAGGCCUUAGGGUUGUAAAGCGCUUUCACUGGUGAAGAUGAUGACGGUAGCCAGAGAAGAAGCCCCGGCUAACUCCGUGCCAGCAGCCGCGGUAAUACGGAGGGGGCAAGCGUUGUUCGGAAUUACUGGGCGUAAAGGGCGCGUAGGCGGAAUAUCAAGUUAGGGGUGAAAGGCCCGGGCUCAACCUGGGAACGGCCUCUAAAACUGAUAAUCUUGAGUCCGGAAGAGGAUGGCGGAAUUCCCAGUGUAGAGGUGAAAUUCGUAGAUAUUGGGAAGAACACCGGUGGCGAAGGCGGCCAUCUGGUCCGGAACUGACGCUGAGGCGCGAAAGCGUGGGGAGCAA